AUGGACGUCGACUGAAGGGAUUCGACGCUCUGAGGUAGACGACGGCGGACGAAGACCGAUCUGAUGUCGGAGGCAGAAGGGAUGAGCGGACUGGGCAGCGACGAAGUUGGUUUGACACGGUAAACUGGAGCAGCGCACGUUCUGGUAUGAACUGAGCGACUGCGUCUGGGCCGACUGGAGACUGACACAACGCCGGAAAGUGGAGCAGCGACUGCGUCUGGGCAGACUGAAGCAACGCCGGAAAACUGGAGCAGGUGACCGGACGGUGCAGUGGAGUAAUGUUUUGGAGAAGUUCUUUGGUGCCCAAAGCCAACUAUUGGGACUGAACUUAGGAAGACGAAGGCGAUCUGAACAGAGACAGAUGAAGCCGACCGUGGCUGCUGAAGACAAAGUCGAGCGUACGAACCGGUUUGUUGCUGAAGAUGCUGAAGACGAAGUCGAGCGUGGACCGAGAUGAUCAACUGAAGAGAUCGGAGAUCGAUCUCUGAUGUAAGAGGCAGACGAAGGCGGUCCGGACACGAGACGAGGCCGGUCUGGUCUAGAAAGUGAGAGCAAAUUGCUCUGAGAUGGGUGAUGAAUGAUUGCAGGCGAAGAUCGGUCUCGGAAGAGACGAAGAUCGAUCCUGUCUUGAACAAAGAAUUAAGGAGACAAAGUCCUUUCGGAUCUCUGCUCUGAUACCAAGUCAAGUAUAACAAGAUUGAGACUUAAUUGUCUGAUGUAUAUUCAUCUCACACUUUGAGGUUUAUAUAGGAUUACAAACAGAAAGCAUACAGUUCACUACAGCUCAUCUAUCACUAUACCUAACACUACAGCUCAUCUAUCACUUAAUUGUAAAAGGUUGAUGACUCACG
RNAcentral lists this long non-coding RNA (851 nucleotides) under Rosa chinensis. RNAcentral describes it as "sRNA RchiOBHm_Chr3g0453361". The record is from RNAcentral. Lineage: Eukaryota; Viridiplantae; Streptophyta; Magnoliopsida; Rosales; Rosaceae.